UGGGGAAUUUUGGACAAUGGGGGCAACCCUGAUCCAGCAAUGCCGCGUGUGUGAAGAAGGCCUUCGGGUUGUAAAGCACUUUUGUCCGGAAAGAAAACGUCGUGGUUAAUACCCGUGGCGGCUGACGGUACCGGAAGAAUAAGCACCGGCUAACUACGUGCCAGCAGCCGCGGUAAUACGUAGGGUGCAAGCGUUAAUCGGAAUUACUGGGCGUAAAGCGUGCGCAGGCGGUCCGCUAAGACAGAUGUGAAAUCCCCGGGCUUAACCUGGGAACUGCAUUUGUGACUGGCGGGCUAGAGUAUGGCAGAGGGGGGUAGAAUUCCACGUGUAGCAGUGAAAUGCGUAGAGAUGUGGAGGAAUACCGAUGGCGAAGGCAGCCCCCUGGGCCAAUACUGACGCUCAUGCACGAAAGCGUGGGGGAGCAAACAGGAUUAGAUACCCUGGUAGUCCACGCCCUAAACGAUGUCAACUAGUUGUCGGGUCUUCAUUGACUUGGUAACGUAGCUAACGCGUGAAGUUGA
RNAcentral lists this ribosomal RNA (521 nucleotides) under uncultured bacterium. RNAcentral's name for it is "partial 16S ribosomal RNA". It matches the Rfam family "Bacterial small subunit ribosomal RNA", at positions 355 to 868 of the family's 1533-position model. The record is from RNAcentral.